Molecule: non-coding RNA, 87 nt
Organism: Myotis brandtii (Brandt's bat)
Lineage: Eukaryota; Metazoa; Chordata; Mammalia; Chiroptera; Vespertilionidae
Source: Rfam
AGAGGCCCUCUGCGGCAGGGGCGGAACGCUUGCCUCGUCACCACGGCGACGAAGCAAGCAUUCUGCCAGGCCACUCAUGCUGCCCGC